Beta vulgaris subsp. vulgaris (sugar beet) is the source of this 624-nucleotide long non-coding RNA. RefSeq lists it as uncharacterized. Lineage: Eukaryota; Viridiplantae; Streptophyta; Magnoliopsida; Caryophyllales; Amaranthaceae. The record is from RefSeq and is a predicted model, not a curated record. The transcript has 4 exons.
CAAUCUUUUAGAAACAUAGGUAGUAGUAAUGAUUAUUAUUGCAAUUGAGUUGGACAAUUAUUGUGAAUUUUCAAGUAUCAUCCUGACAAGAAUGCAAAUGAUCCUAAGGCAGGGGAUAUGUUCAAAGAGGUCACAUUCUCUUACAACAUACUAUCAGAUCCUGAGAAAAGGCGUCAGUUUGACGCUGCUGGUUUUGAGGCUGUUGAUUCAGAAAGUCAAGAACUUGAGCUGGAUCUUUCAAGUUUGGGAACUGUAAAUACAAUGUUUGCAGCACUAUUUAGCAAACUUGGUGUGCCCAUAAAGACCACAGUCUCAGCAACAGGUUGGAAGAGGCAUUAAAUGGUAGAGUAUCUGUCUCACCUCUUACACUAGGCCAGCCUCUAUUUAGAAAGGUAGAAAAACAAUCUGCCCAUAUUUAUUCUGUCACAAUAACUGAGGACGCGCUGGGUGGACUUGUCUGCCGUGUGCAAUCAUCUGAUAAAAGCAAAUUUAAGGUUUGUGUUAUACUGCAGAAUAUUUUCAUUUAGCAUCUUAGUUCUCAGGUUUUGUGCUGGUCUAGGCUGACGUGUGAGUGUUUAAACUAGUCUGAUUGAAUCUCGAUGCCAUACCUAGCCUUGCCAAUGA